Molecule: non-coding RNA, 28 nt
Filed under: Mus musculus (house mouse)
Lineage: Eukaryota; Metazoa; Chordata; Mammalia; Rodentia; Muridae
Source: RNAcentral
UUCUGAAUAUCUACACACCAAAUGCCAG